RNAcentral lists this long non-coding RNA (698 nucleotides) under Pan troglodytes (chimpanzee). RNAcentral describes it as "long non-coding RNA NONPTRT000365". Lineage: Eukaryota; Metazoa; Chordata; Mammalia; Primates; Hominidae. The record is from RNAcentral.
GUGAGAUCCUACAGGACGGUCUGGAAGACAUCCCAUGGAAGGCACUUUAUUUUGCCCAGAAGCUGGAGGAAAAGCAGAAGGAUGCUGAACACUGACUAAGAGGAGAGAGCGCACAUUACAUGGAGACCAUGGUCCCUAUACCAGAAACAUGAGAGUAGAGAGAAGCAAAGCCAGCAUCGUGGAGCCAGUCCCUUUAUCCAGGGUCUUGGAGGGAUACAGUCUUCUGUAGAAAUUAAAUAAAAACUGAAUUCUUCAAUGGGUAUUUUGAGAAGAGAGCCACUGUAAGCUUAUACACUGUGAAUUGCAAAAUGUUACUGCCUCUGGGUGGACAGGUUUUAAAAAGACUUUUUUUUUUUUCCUCCUGGCAUGACUGACAGAGGGAAGGCUGGGUUUCAAUCCCAUCUUUCCCUUCCCUUGCCCAGUGCUUCUUUAUGUGCACAACCUGCACAACUAUAUGUGGUUUGCAAACACGCAUAAGCAAAGACUAACAGCUUCUGAAACAAACUCUGAAUAAAAGAGGGAGCAUAUUAAGGCAGAUGGCAGAGGAGGUGAGCAGCAUGGGCAGAUAGAAGCAUCACAGAGACUACAAGAAGAAUGUGCCAGACCAGCUCAUAGUGGCCACACUUAUUAAGAAUUAUCAUCAGCUCUUUAGGAUUUGGAAACUUGGAAACACAUUGUGUGUUCUUCCUGGUUUGUUA